This 160-nucleotide ribosomal RNA is filed under the name uncultured fungus. RNAcentral's name for it is "5.8S ribosomal RNA". It matches the Rfam family "5.8S ribosomal RNA". From Rfam's summary of the family: 5.8S ribosomal RNA (5.8S rRNA) is a component of the large subunit of the eukaryotic ribosome. It is transcribed by RNA polymerase I as part of the 45S precursor that also contains 18S and 28S rRNA. Functionally, it is thought that 5.8S rRNA may be involved in ribosome translocation. The record is from RNAcentral. Lineage: Eukaryota; Fungi.
AAUACAAUACAACUUUCAGCAUCGGAUCUCUUGGCUCUCACAUCGAUGAAGAACGCAGAGAAAUGCGAUAAGYAAUGUGAAUUGCASAAUUCAGUGAAUCAUCAAAUCUUUGAACGCACCUUGCGCCCCUUGRCURUUCCGAGGGRCAUGCCYGUUUGAG